UUUCAUUUUGAUUAGACAAGAGAAACAUCUCUACAAGAAUUGGUACAACACGUUGGUUAAAUUAUGUCCCUGAGCAUUUGGCAGCUAGAUCUCAAAUAUUUUUUUCCUAUAAUAUAUGCUUCACAUCCCAAGAAUUACUAGAUAUUUGCUUUGAAUUAUUUUAGCAUAAGUAACUGCAAAUCAUUUAUCAGAAAAAAGGAAUUAGAGAAAUUUAUCUCUGUAAAGGAGGACAGGCCUUCGUGUAUUAAUAAGGCUUCUCCAUUAUGAUUCGGGUUUCGCACGUUGGAAACACGGAAACAGCCUCUUUGCAUGUGGGAAAGGUUGCAUACAUUUGACACUUCCUAGAUCCUGUAGUAGCGGGAGCAUCAUGCACUAGGAUGCCUAUUUUAGACAUUUGUCUUUGCAAAAGAAGUAUUAUUUUGGAUUUUGCAACCCAUAAAUGCUUAUUCUAGGUUUCUGGAAAGUUUGACAUCCAACUUAUAAACACUACAUCAUCAUGUUUCUUUGAUGGCAAAAAUGCUGUAGUCAUGUAGCA
Molecule: long non-coding RNA, 535 nt
Filed under: Elaeis guineensis (African oil palm)
Lineage: Eukaryota; Viridiplantae; Streptophyta; Magnoliopsida; Arecales; Arecaceae
Description: long non-coding RNA (EGUI_LNC081551)
Source: RNAcentral